This 904-nucleotide long non-coding RNA is filed under the name Equus caballus (horse). RNAcentral describes it as "lncRNA (ENSECAG00000059142.1)". Lineage: Eukaryota; Metazoa; Chordata; Mammalia; Perissodactyla; Equidae. The record is from RNAcentral.
CAUCAAUCAAUCAAGCAAUGAUCUUAUUUUUGAGAGUUGGCAUAAUUAUCCAAGGAGUCUGACAAUGUUCCAUUUGGAAUAUUCAAAUGUUCUAUUUGGAAUAUUCAAAUAUUCUAUUUGGAAUAUUCAAAAACAGUAAGACAUCCAUGGAUAAAAGGCAGAAGGUGUCAGGGAAAAGCUCCUCUGUACGGAAGAAACUAUGAAGUUUAUCUCCACAAGUCUGAGCUGGAGCUGUCAAAAAAAAAAAAAAAAAGAGAGAGAGAGAAAAGAAAAGAAAGGCUGCUGGAUUCACCCUGCAUCGGCUGCAGAGGGCGCUGUGAACAUUGGUAUUCCUGUGGUCUUUGGCCAAAGGGCAUCAACAAAACUAACAUAUAAUAAGUUGGCUGUGAAACGGGAAGUUUCUCCAUGAGACAUUAUGUGGACAUCUUUAAGAAGACAGCUGCAUCUAAGGACACUUUCCUGGUCCAAGGAUGUUCUUGGCUAAGAAGACAGAGGGUGAAUCUAUACACUAUCAACAAUGCAGGUAUUAACAGCCUCUGGCGUGUGGUCUGAAGAUGGUUCACUUUGCCAGGAUGCACUCUCACAUCACCCAUGAGAUUUCUAUUCACCUGUAGAGGCUACCUCUGCUCUCGGGGCUGACUUGUUCCCUCCAAACUGGGAUCCUGCGAGCACUUCACUCACACUGCCACUCACCUUAAUAUCUGAUCUCUAGUGUCCUGCAAAUUCUUCUCAGUACCCUAUUAGGAUCAAGUUAUGGAAAAAAAAUCUCCUCUCGCCUUGUUUCAGACAGUGUAUAAUGGCAUACAUUUAAAAGGAAAAUUUAUAAGGAAAAAAGAAAACAUACAAAAGAAAAAAGCAUUUAUUCAAAAUACAAAUAUUUUAUCCUAAGAACAUUAAAAUAUCU